Molecule: ribosomal RNA, 1432 nt
Filed under: uncultured bacterium
Lineage: Bacteria
Description: bacterial SSU rRNA
Rfam family: Bacterial small subunit ribosomal RNA
Source: RNAcentral
ACGAGGUCGGUACUUAAUACAUGCAAGUCGAGGGGCAGCACGGGUAGCAAUAUCUGGUGGCGACCGGCGCACGGGUGCGUAACACGUAUACAAUCAAUAAACAGGGGGAUAGCCCUBMGAAAGUWGGAUUAAUACCCCAUAAUAAAUUGAAUGGCAUCAUUUGAUUUUGAAAGUUCCGAGGUUAAAGAUGAGUAUGCGUCGUAUUAGCUAGUUGGUGAGGUAACGGCUCACCAAGGCDACGAUGAGUAGGGGAUCUGAGAGGACAUNCCCCCACAUUGGUACUGAGACACGGACCGGACUCCUACGGGAGGCAGCAGUGAGGAAUAUUGGUCAAUGGGCGCAAGCCUGAUCCAGCCAUGCCGCGUGCAGGAUGACGGUCCUAUGGAUUGUAAACUGCCUUAUACGGGAAGAAACACUCCUUCGUGUAGGAGCUUGACGGUAUCGUAAGAAUAAGGAUCGUUUAACUCCGUGCCAGCAGCCGCGGUAAUACGGAGGAUCCAAGCGUUAUCCGGAAUCAUUGGGUUUAAAGGGAGCGUAGGUGGACUUAUUAAGUCAGUGGUGAAAUCUCAUCAGCUUAACGAGAAACUGCCAUUGAUACUGCAAGUCUUGAGUACAGAUGAUGUAACUAGAAUAUGACAGUGUACUCGGUGAUAUUACUUAGAGAUGUCAUAGAAAUUCCAAUUGCGAAGGCAGCUUACUAAACUGUAACUUGACGCUGAGGCACGAAAGUGCGGGGAUCAAACAGGCUAGAUACCCUGGUAGUCCGCACCGUAAACGAUGAUUACUCGUUGUUGGCGAUAUGACAGUUUGCGACCAAGCGAAAGCGAUAAGUAAUCCACCUGGGGAGUACGCCGGCAACGGUGAAACUCAAAGGAAUUGACGGGGGCCCGCACAAGCGGAGGAGCAUGUGGUUUAAUUCGAUGAUACGCGAGGAACCUUACCUGGGCUUGAAAGUUAGUGACCGUCUCUGAACGGAGAUCUUCCGCAAGGACACGAACCUAGGUGCUGCAUGGCCAUUCGUCAGCUCGUGCCGUGAGGUGUUGGGUUAAGUCCCGCAACGAGCGCAACCCCUACCAUUAGUUAUCAGCGAGUAAUGUCGGGAACCUAAUGGAAAUUGCCCGUGCAAACGGUGAGGAAGGUGGGUAUGAUGUCAAUCAUCACGGCCCUUAGGUCCAGGGCUACACACGUGCUACAAUGGCCGGUAUUAACGGGGAGCUACACAGCGAUGUGAUGCUAAUCUUUAAAACCCGGUAUUAAUUCGGAUUGACGUCUUGAACUUGACUUCCUGAAACUGGAUUCGCUAGCCAUCGCCCUUCAGGCAAUGGCCCGGCAAAUACCUUCCCGGGCCUUGUACACCCCGCCCGUCAAGCCAUGAAAGCUGGGAGUAUCUAAAAUCGGUAGCCGCAAGGCGCCGUUUGAGGAUUAAGCUAUG